CAAACUCCUACGGGAGGCAGCAGUAGGGAAUCUUCCACAAUGGACGCAAGUCUGAUGGAGCAACGCCGCGUGAGUGAAGAAGGCUUUCGGGUCGUAAAACUCUGUUGUUGGAGAAGAAUGGUCGGCAGAGUAACUGUUGUCGGCGUGACGGUAUCCAACCAGAAAGCCACGGCUAACUACGUGCCAGCAGCCGCGGUAAUACGUAGGUGGCAAGCGUUAUCCGGAUUUAUUGGGCGUAAAGCGAGCGCAGGCGGUUUUUUAAGUCUGAUGUGAAAGCCCUCGGCUUAACCGAGGAAGCGCAUCGGAAACUGGGAAACUUGAGUGCAGAAGAGGACAGUGGAACUCCAUGUGUAGCGGUGAAAUGCGUAGAUAUAUGGAAGAACACCAGUGGCGAAGGCGGCUGUCUGGUCUGUAACUGACGCUGAGGCUCGAAAGCAUGGGUAGCGAACAGGAUUAGAUACCCUGGUAGUCCAUGCCGUAAACGAUGAAUGCUAGGUGUUGGAGGGUUUCCGCCCUUCAGUGCCGCAGCUAACGCAUUAAGCAUUCCGCCUGGGGAGUACGACCGCAAGGUUGAAACUCAAAGGAAUUGACGGGGGCCCGCACAAGCGGUGGAGCAUGUGGUUUAAUUCGAAGCAACGCGAAGAACCUUACCAGGUCUUGACAUCUUUUGAUCACCUGAGAGAUCAGGCUUCCCCUUCGGGGGCAAAAUGACAGGUGGUGCAUGGUUGUCGUCAGCUCGUGUCGUGAGAUGUUGGGUUAAGUCCCGCAACGAGCGCAACCCUUAUGACUAGUUGCCAGCAUUUAGUUGGGCACUCUAGUAAGACUGCCGGUGACAAACCGGAGGAAGGUGGGGAUGACGUCAAAUCAUCAUGCCCCUUAUGACCUGGGCUACACACGUGCUACAAUGGAUGGUACAACGAGUUGCGAGACCGCGAGGUCAAGCUAAUCUCUUAAAGCCAUUCUCAGUUCGGACUGUAGGCUGCAACUCGCCUACACGAAGUCGGAAUCGCUAGUAAUCGCGGAUCAGCACGCCGCGGUGAAUACGUUCCCGGGCCUUGUACACACCGCCCGUCACACCA
Molecule: ribosomal RNA, 1079 nt
Filed under: Lacticaseibacillus paracasei subsp. tolerans
Lineage: Bacteria; Bacillati; Bacillota; Bacilli; Lactobacillales; Lactobacillaceae
Description: bacterial SSU rRNA
Rfam family: Bacterial small subunit ribosomal RNA
Source: RNAcentral